Podarcis lilfordi (Lilford's wall lizard) is the source of this 13759-nucleotide non-coding RNA. Lineage: Eukaryota; Metazoa; Chordata; Lepidosauria; Squamata; Lacertidae. The record is from the annotation of a GenBank genome assembly.
GUCAUGCAAGCUGUCACGGUCUGACAGGAACUUGUCACGUGAAAUGGAGAGCUCUAAGGUUGACCCAAACAGUGUCAAUGUGGCGCUCAUCAGUGCCCACAACGCCAUAGUGCUCUUGGCAGGGCCUGCAUUUUGGUAAGGUGCCGAAAAACUAAUACAAAUAAUGCUGAACCUUCGCUCCUGAGGGACGGUGCCAUCUUGAAAGCUUGCCUUUUGCAAUGUUUGUUGGCGUCUCCCAACUAACUAGCUCCUUAUCCUUCUUUUGGUGCCUAGUUAUUUGUUUGUUUAUUAUUUCAAUCAACAUUUUUGGGUGGGUGGUUUCAGUGCAGAGCAAAAUCAGACCAGGGGCAACAGAUUGAAACCAAAUCCAUAUAUAAAAUUUUUAUCCUGCCGUCCCUCCACAAGGAGCCUAGGGCAGCAAAAUACAAGAUAGAUCAUCUUGUUAUUUACGAUAUAAAAAUAAAAUAUAAGUCACAGAGCCAGGCACUAAUACCCUGUAAAUGCCUGAACAAACAAGCAAAAGUGUUCAGCUGGCAUACGAAUCUGAGAAAAGAGACUCUGUUGUUAUAUAUUUGGUGCCCAUUGAAGGCUUUCCUUUCAACAAAACUUCUAAGUGAAGAUUUUUAUCCCAGUCAGUAUUUGACUGAAAUCUGUUUCAGUAUAUGUAAUUAAUUAUUUUACAUAUGCUUUUAGUGUAUUGUGAAAUCUCUCCCUCUUGGGCGUGAUGCACAAUUGGAAUUAAUUAGGUAAUAAUAAUAAUAAUUCAUUGCUGUGGGGGGUGGACAGGGAGCGAAAUGCUUGUGAGGUUAUUGCCUCAGAUGCUGAAACAGGAGCAGCUCCAUUUAUAGUCUACCUAAGGCAGCAAAAUGUGUUGGCUAUUUCUUUAUGCAGUGAGUGGUACUGGCUGUCCGGUCAUUGGUGGUGGGAAGGAAGGGCUUGGGGCUGCCAUACAUCCUCUUUACACUGCGUUGUGUGAGUCAGCGUGGAGUCAUCCUUAAAGGGUUAGACCAGGACCUCAGUGACCUGGGUUCAAAUCCCCACUCAGCCACAUAGCUCACCAGGGGUGGGCCAACCAAGUAUCUUUCAGCCUGAUCUAUCUUACGGAGUUGUUGUGAAAAUUAAAUAUAUGUUUGUGCGUGGGGAAUGGAACAGACCCACGGCUGUUGUUGUGACGCCUUGAAGGAAAGUUGGGAUAUAAAAGGAGUACAUAUGUGCGUCUCAAAUCUUGUUGUUGUUUAGUCGUUUAGUCGUGUCCGACUCUUCAUGACCCCAUGGACCAGAGCAUGCCAGGCACUUCUGUCUUCCACUGCCUCCCGCAGUUUGGUCAAACUCAUGCUGGUAGCUUCGAGAACACUGUCCAACCAUCUCGUCCUCUGUCUUCCCCUUCUCCUUGUGCCCUCAAUCUUUCCCAACAUCAGGGUCUUUUCCAGGGAGUCUUCUCUUCUCAUGAGGUGGCCAUGAAGAGCCUCAGCUUCACGAUCUGUCCUUCCAGUGGGCACUCAGGGCUGAUUUCCUUAAGAAUGGAUAGUUUUGAUCUUCUUGCAGUCCAUGGGACUCUCAAGAGUCUCCUCCAGCACCAUAAUUCAAAAGCCUCAAAUCUUACUUGUGUUCAUAUGAGGCCUUAAUUCAAAAUUCAUGCAGGGCUAUAUAUGAGGAUGCUCUUAGUAUGAGGGUAUGGAGACAAGUUAUAAAGGAAGGCACUGCUGGGAAACUCUUAACAAUUUUAUUCAAACCAAGAAAAAUGAGGUGUUUAUUUUAGGCUUCCAAUACUAUUAAAAAUCUGCACUUCGCAAGCUGCCUCUCUAAGUAAAAGACCGCUUAGCAACUGAGCAUGAUGAAUCUAUUUUGACAGGUGAUUGCCCAGGCAAAUAAUACAUCAUCUUAUUUCAGAAAGCGAGAAAGGAAUCCUUCUGUUGGCAUCCGCCUAGCCUUCCCCCAGUUUUAAAGCACUUCUAUUUCCCCUGGGUAUUGCUAGUUACUUAUGAGAACCUUUUGUCCUCUGGCUUUCAUUAUUCAUAAGGACCAGUCCCAUAAAAGAUUGAAGAUACCUAGCAACAACCAAGAUUAAUUCAUACCAUUUCAUGAAAUUCAUUUGAACAGGCAGUUGGGGCAUGGAACCUUGAACACAUGCUAAUUAUAUGGAGGGCAGGAAAACUGUCCAAAAAUAUGCAAAAUGCAGAUGAAAUUUUAAAAAGGUGUUUCAUAUUUCUAAUAUAUAUAUAUUUAAUGGUCUAGUUUCAUGCAGAACCAGAGGGGGUUGGAAUCUUCUUUAACAAUUAAAACAUGGUCACUGAAAGGGAUUGGGAGUUUCUACCCAGUAUUUUUUUCAAUGAUUCCAGUAUUUUUUCAAUGAUUUACAGAUUCGUGGUCCAACCCAGCAGUGAUUUGAUGCACCUAUCUCCCAUUGAAGUCAAUGGAGCAAAUAGUACAGUUAAAUAAUAAACAAAUCUUCAACAUUUUCAUAAAAUAACCAUUCUCAAGUCCUUUGUUUGGAUUUGGGUUUUAAAUUCAUAAUUAGUAAUCAAAUUAUUCCCACUAGAAUCUUAGGCCUAGGCCAAUACCAGUAUUUGCCUGCAUGCUUUUUUUGAAAGAAUUGUUUCUCAGAUAGAAAUGGCCCGAUUUUAGACAGGGAAAUGUUUUCUCAAAUAUCAAUUAAUUAUUGGCAGUCCUCUCCAGAACUGAAAUCAAAACUAGCAGUGUAUGUUGGGAAUACAUUGCCUAAAGAGCAAGUCUUCUAAAAAAGGUCAGCUAUCACUUGUUCCAUCUUGUGUCCUGUGAAGCUAUUCUAUGCAUUUGUGGCACAUGUGAAUCAGGCAAAGGUUUAGACUUUUGUGCUGUAGCUCUGCAGGUGUUAACACUGAUAUUUCUCUCUCCAUCCUUUGUCUCGGUGUUUCAAAUAACACUUUUUCAUUUGUAGCAAAUUAACGCCAAAUAAAUUUGCUUACUUCCACUAAGGAUCAUUUGGCAAUCUAAGCACUUGGGUUACAUAAAGUCAAUUUAGCAAUUAGUUACGGAAUAGUGCAAUAUUGUAAAUAAUGCAUCCAUUGCUGUUCAGCAAUAUUUAAAAAGGUUUGGGAACCACCGAACAUCAAGAAGCACCAGUGAUAGGGGUUUCCCCCCUCUUGGUAAUGUUUUAAAUAUGUUUGUUUUUUAUUAUUUAUUUUGUUAUCAUAAAUCAUUUUCAGGCGUUUUGUUUGCAAGUAGCAUGCAUUCAAUAAACCUAGGGUUGCCAUAUUCAGAAAAGUGAAAAUCCGGACACCAAAGUUCAUGAGCUUUUUUUUGGGGGGGGGGGUGCAAAGUUGUUGAGCUUUUUGACAUGAUUUGCGAGGGCCGAAUCCUGCAUAUGUCUGGGAAACCCUAGAAACAUGUGGCAGCCCCAUAUAAACCUAACUUGACCAACAAGCUGUGGGAGCUAUAGUUUGUGGGCAAAUAACACAUUUUGCAUGCAAAAUGUCCCCGAUUCAAUUCCUAGUAUCUCCAACUGAAAGGAACUGGUAAGAAGUGAUGGGGAAGACCUCUGCCUGAUACCCUCGAGAACCACUGCCAAGUCAGGCUGAAUAAUAUCAGGCAAAAUAAAGAAAGAGUUGACCUAUGAUUACAUUUCCAGAAAGGUAGCCAUGUUAGUUUGUUAGUUUGAAAUCUCAUGCUGUAUUAAAUUUCUUUUUUUUUUUUAAUAAUAUUUAUUAAUAAUUUCAAAAUUACAAAAAAAGAAAAAAUAAAGAAUAAAGAACAACACUACAAUACAAAAAAAGAAAAAAACGCAGAACAUAAAAACCAAUACAACAAUACAGCAAACGAAAAAUAAAAAGAAGGAAAAAAAGACACAAAUCCCAAAUUGCAUAUCUAUAAUUUCCAUUUGCUUGUUUCAUUGACCUCCUCACACCUCCCUUUUUGUAUUCUAGUUUAAUUAGUUAUUUCAGCAAAUUCUUUCCAUCUUUCUCAAUUUUUGUUCAAAAAUAUAUCUUAACAAUUUAACCUAAUAAUUAACUCAACAAAUCCUUUCCAUCUUUCCCCAUAUUCUGUUAUUCAAAUUACCUUAAUUUAUUUAACCUUAUCUUACCCCAAAAUACCUUAAAGCUUAAAUCUUAGUUUUCAAAUAUACAUAGCUCCUGAUAUCAUUUCUGCUAGAGUCAUAUAGUUUUAUUCCAACAUUUCCCCUAAUAUUCAUUAAGCAAAUUCUAAAUAAAAAGUUUCCUUUAUAAAUUUUCUUCCAAUCAUCAUCCAGCGUCUCUUCUUCCUGGUCUCGGAUCGUGUCAGUCCUUACUGUCCAUUCCAUCUAGUCCAUCAACCUGGAAGCCUUAUGUCCGAGGCCCUUAAGUCUCUUCCAUGUCCCUUCUGCAGUUCUUCUUCUUCUUGUUUAUACUUGCCCUUUUCCUUGUCUUUUGUUGGUCUCUUUCUUAAUUUCUUUCCUUUCUCAUUGAGAAGUAGGUCUCUGGGGGAUUCCAACCCAAAAUUGUCUCCAUCUCCCUUCAUCCAGCCCACCCAUUCCCCACAGUCCCACUCCCCACAGUCCUCGAUAUAAUCCAAAAAGUAUUUAAAAUCAUAUUUCAAGGUCUCUCCAAAAUUAGGAACCUCCUCAUCUCCAAACUCCCCCUGGCCCACUCCAACUUCAAUCUUCAAUGACAGUGGCUUAUGCUCCUGUAGGGCCUCGGGUCUCUCCAUUUGUAUUAUUUGAGGUGCAACCGCAUCUUCCUCCAUUGUCAUGUGCACUUGCCCAGUCAGUACAGAAUCAUAGGUUGGUCCCUGGAUGAUUUCUGUAUCAGUGUUCCCUGUUUGUCCACAGUUAUUAACCACGACAGUCAAAUCCAUUUUCUCAUUCAUCAAGUCCAUCUUCUCGUGCAUCUGUUCCAGCAAGGCAUUUGUCUUGCAUAAAGCAAGCACCCAAUCUUCCUCCCAGCUCAUCUUUGGUCAAGGUCAGAAAAGACUGUUCCCACGAUCUUAAUCUCACAGAUGUUGGGUCCUCAAGUAUACUGCAGCAACAAUUUAACAAGCUCCUCUAGAGGAGACUUUCUAUUUGUAUCCAUUUUUUUUUAAAGGCAAAGGAAAGUUACUUUCAUUUUCCAGAUAUUUCAGAUGUUUUUCAGAUAUUUUGUUUCUUUAAAAUGCAAAAGGCAACAUUAGAAUCAACUUGUCUCUCUUCAUUAGCUAUCUGUCAAAAUAUUCCAUUCACAGUCAAUGAACCUCUCCAACAGUUUCUGUCUCUGACACCCCGUUCCCAGGUUAGAGACGGUGGAAACUUAUCCUUCUUCACUCCCUCUCCUGCUAGGGUUAAACAGAGUCCCCCCUUUUCUCCUGCUUCCAAGGGGGGUUUCAGUGAUUCUAAAUGAAGGAAAUUUAGGCUUUUUGACAGCUUUCCCGGCUUUAGCUUACAAAAUUUUUGCUUUAGUCUAUAUACAAAAAGCGGAAGGCGGACUUCCUGUUUUGCACCUUCCCGCUUCGAUACCAAAUUAAGCAAUUUCUUGAUCCAAUUUUCCGUUUCUACUCACGGGUACUUGUUUUAAAUCCAAUUGUCCACAGGAAAAGUCAGCGCUCUCUGGCAAUGGCUGUGCGGCUUCACUCCGUGAAAGUAGCAGUCAGUUCGCAGCACCGCGCUUCUCACCCCACUUCGCUCCGGAGCCCCUAAAUGGGAUUCCCCGCGAGUAGGGGAGCGCUUCUGGUGCCCUGCCGAACCCCACGUUCCCAGGCUUCCUCUGCCUGGGAUUUCUAACGGGUCCCCACCUUCGCCGCGGCGGGAAGACCCAGUUUCCACGGAGCCCGUUCCUCCGGUCGGAGGAACUCCGCCAUUCACCAAUGGCGCUGACCCGGAAGUUCUAAAUUUCUAAGUCUUUAAUGUACCACAAGACACUUGGGUCUGGAAACCAAGCCUCGUGAGGAACAGUUGAAGGAACUGGGUAUCUUCAUUCUGGUAAAGAGGAGACUGAGAGAAGCAAUGAUAGCCAUUUUCCAAUAUCUAAAGGGCUGCCACAUGGAAGAUGGAGCAAGCGUGUUUUUAACAUCAUCAUAAUAAUUUAUUAAAUUUGUUUACCAUUGCAUACCCGCAGGUCUGGAGGGUAGGACCCAAACCAAUGGCUUUGGGUGACAAGAAAGGAGAGUCGGACUCAACAUCAGGAAGAACCUUCUGAUGGUAAGUGCUGUUUGAACAGACUACCUUGCAAUGUGGUUGACUCUCCUUCUGUGGAGGUUUUUAAACAGAGGUCUGAUGGCCUUCUGUCAUAUAGGAUUUAGUUGAGAUUCCUGCAUUGCAGGGUGUUGGAAUAGAUCACCCUUGGGUUCCCUUCUAACUUUGCAAUUCCAUGAUUCUAAGUAACACGAGCAGCCACAGCUUGAUUUGUAGUUACAUGCCUAAGUUUGUCCUCUUCAUUCUCUGAAGAAUCUGCUGCAGCUGAAUGCCAAUGUAAGUUGACAUUCAGAAACUUUGCAAUGUAUAAUAGGGGGUGGGACUGCAUUGGUGCAUGUGCAGUAGAGACCAGAAUUCCUGGACCUUUAUAAAAAUUAUGUUUAAAUUGGAAUCUUAGAAGCAGGAACAUGUCAUGUCAUAGUACUGCAAGUGCACUACAGGAACAGCUAGAUUGGUAAAGAAAAGGCAUUUUAUAUGCGUUGUAUAUGCAAUAUUACACUGUGACACCAGAUGGCGCUGUGGAGUCCAGUCUUUCCCUACUGGAUUUCCCUAUAGGAGUUUACAACGCGUUUAACUGAAACGCUUCUUUGAUGUGUCUAGAUUCUGUACUCUUCCAGGUACAGAAUAUCACUGUCCUGUAUUGCAUCUAAUAGUAUUUCUUAUCUCUGGAGAGACACCUGCACACAAUACACAGACAGACCUUGUCAAACAAGUUACCUUUGGAAACAGAAGCUGUGUUCAGGGGUUAUUCCUAACAGGGCAUUUUCCAAAUCAUGUACGGACACAUACACCCUCCCCCCGCCCCCACUACACACCACCCACUCUGCUUGGAUUUCCCUUGUAUUGAGCAAGAAAGGCAGAAUGCAAGUGCAUUUGGCUGAAGUCACAACCCUUCCCCAGUUGUCAAGACGCUUAUAAGCAGAGUCAACUGCUCCAUUCAGGCCUUCCUGCUCACCACAGGAAAGCAGAGAUGAGGAUGUUGAAGGCUUGGUUUGCAUGCAUGGUCCCACAACCCUCUUCAUGUGUUCACAAUGAAUGCUGUUUCAAAGGUGAAAACCUUUCUUGGAAUAGGAUUGAAGGGUGAUAAAAAAAAUACUUACAAAUAUCUCAUGCACAUAAAAUGAACAAGGCUGUGCAGGUGAGAGGCUCACCCCAACCAAUGCAUGUUCAAGCAUCUGCUCACGUAGUUCAAACUUUGUUCAACGAAUGAGCGUUGGAUAGGGUGGGGCUGGCCACUGUGAUAAAGUCUCUUGCCCUCGAAUUGUCCAUUUUGCUUGCCUAAGAGCAUUUGCAAUGGGCUUUUGAUGAAGAAAAUGAGAAGAGACAUGCAAACUUUUCACACUCUUAAACACAUUCAAGAUUGCAUUGAGAACAUAAAAGUAGCAUAUUCAUCUGUGUAGAGCUGUAAGAGCAGCCUACCAGAUUUUUUUUUUAAAAUUAAAUAGCAUUUGGAUGAGUUGUAAUCCUGGUUGUUUGAGAAUGGCUGUGUUUAAUAAAUCAUGGUCAAUUGUAAACACAUUUCUGGAGUUGCGCCGGCCUCUUUUAUGGUGCCUAGAACCAAGGAGGCUCUCUAGCCAGGAAACAAUUAUCCUCUGCUUUGGCCAGCUGUGUAAAUGAGACCUAGUCCACGUGUUACCUGGAUGGCUAGAGCUGUGUGGUUUUUAGUUCUACAUCAUGUGUAUUAAGACGAAUGGCAUUGUUGAAUUCAAAGCGUGUGAGUCACACAGUGUGUGUGUUUCGCCAAGACAAAAAUAACAAAUGAAGGUCGGUCUAAAAUUCUAUGGCCCACAUACGCCACUAAUUUUGCCUUCUAUGCUGUUGUUUUAAAGCCAUCCAGACCACUUUGUAUUCCUGCUGGAGUCUGUGAUGUGCUUCCCAUGUAAAUGACAGAUAGACAGUCCACAUUAACACCCACUGGCAUGCAGAAUUCAUGAGCCUGGCCUUCAAUAAUUAUGUCAAUCUAUAAAAUAAUAAACUCUUUGUUCUUUCUAUUGGCCUGCUGGGAUUUGAGCCAGGAGGCUCAAUCCUUGAAGCCUAUUCUCCAUAGAGCUGAUGGCUGGAAAAUUAAUUGUCAAAAAAGGGGUGGGAACGGAAACUGCAGUUCUUUAUAUAUGCAUUUAUUUAUGACCAUGGGUGUUUGGGCUUUAUUGAAUAGUGUGAAGCUUUCAGUAACAUAUUACAUGCUACAUUUAAUACGGUUACCUUCAUAUUAUUAUCACUAGUAACUGUAUUGGGUUGUAUUUUGAGUAUGACUACCAUUGGAUACAGCCCAUUGAUUUGGAUCCCAAUAUAAGGAUGUUCACAGAAGAAAAUGUUCCCACCCACUUCUGCCAUCACCAGCAAAUUUCAUUUCAUCUUCAUCCCAUGUUGUUCAGGAGCCGCACUCAAUCCUCCAGAAACUUUUCUUAGUGAAUGCAGAUGAGAAAGGGGGAUGAGAUUUCUUUCCAUUUCCCAAGAGGAGAAAAAUGAUGAAGAUGAUAAAGCAACAUUUAUGCUCUUGGUGCUUUACAAGUACAAGGUUAUAGGCCCCUGCCCUGGGGAAAUCUAAAACCUGUCUCAACCUGCACACAUGGGUUUUCAAACAAUAUAACUUUUACAAAUUUCCUAUGAGGGUGGCACAAGGUUCAGAAAAUGUAUUAAGACCACCAAUGACCCUCACUACAGGCUCAAAUAAUUCAUUCUAGUUAGUAGUCCACUUACCUUCAGGUGGCAACUAGUUUUGCCAGAGUGGCACUUUUAGAAAUGGAGGCUGGCAGGUCAAAGGCCCAGUCUCCUGAACAGACUGCUUCCGUGUCCUGUUCCCACAAAUACUACCCAAAAAACCUUUUGCUGUUGUAGAAUGGUAUCUUCAACUCAGAGAGUUGGAUUUGACUGUGGGUCUUCAGUUGCUUAUCUAGGUAGAUAGAUAGGCAGACUGCAGACUAGUGACUGUCCCUCUCAGACACAUAAUACAAUUGUUGAUUAUUCCUCUACAGGCCCUGUUUCCUUUCCUGAUACUACAUCCUCAGGUGCCCAGUCUUGAUUUCAACAUUUCAGAGGCUCGUGAGAUAUGUUCUCAUGGUUUUUCUUUGUUCCAGUUAGAAUAAGAGAAUUGUAGAUUUGGAAGGACCAUGAGGGUCAUCUAGACCAAACCCCUGCAAGACAGAUAACUUUUGCCCAGUGUGGAGCUCGAACCCACAAACCUGAAAUUAAGAGUCUCAUGAGCUACCGACUGAGCUAUUCAGUUACUAGACCUUCUUUCUUAUCUUUUCUCCACUAUCAGACUGACCCCUUACCCAUGUUUUACUGUUUGGAUCCUUUGCUUGACUGCUUGAGGGAAGGGCAUAACUCAGUGGUAGAGAAAAUGCAUGCUGAAGAUUUUGUUCAAUUCCUUCACAUCUGCAGGAGGCUUCAUUUAUACUAUGUACACCUUUUCCUUCAUCUGUGAAUGACUUGCUCUGCUCUCAUGAGUGGUUGGAUAUAUAUUCCAACCACAAUGUCUCACAAUGUGCCUCUCUUCAACUCUUCUUCAUUAUGCAUAGAAAGGGUUCAUAGAAAGGGUUCUGGUCCAAUUGCUGGACCAGAGCAGCAAGUUUAGCUUGCACCCAGUCAUAUGUUUUGUGAUGUUUCAAUCACAUUUUCCCAAUAUCUACAGUGGUACCUCGGGAUGUGAAUGGGAUCCGUUCUGGAGCCCCAUUCGCAUCCUGAACAGAACAUAAGACGCGACUGCGCAUCUGCGGGUUGCAUUUCUCUGCUUCCGCGCAUGAUGUCAUUUUGACCGUCUGCGCAUGCGUGAGCAUCGAAACCCGGAAGUAACGCACUCCAUUAAUUCUGGGUCGCUGCGGAGCACAACCCGAAAAUACUUAUCCUGAAGCGUAUUUAUCCCGAGGUAUGACUGUACUUUAAAUGCAGGACCUGAAACCCAAAGGGACACAAGUAGCUUAUCUUGGUACUUCUGUAGCAAACGACAUUUCUAAAUAUCCCUUUUGAUGCCUGACAGCUAAAGACGGAAAGAUCAACAUCCAGUGGCAAACCACUUUUUGAAAUAUGUAGAAAACCCUCAUUUCAUUUCAUUUAAAAGGAUCAAAACCACCAAGUGGUUUUCUUUUAACUCUUGUUAACAAUUUUCUCAGGCAAUAGAAAUUGAGAUAGUGGUUGCCUGCUCUCCCCUGAAUAGUCAUAUAGACCAUGGAUUGACAGUCUGUGGCAGCUUCUUACGUCUUUAUAGGUUCUUGAUUGAUGUAACUAAUUUCUAGAAUUAUGCUAUUCUGAAUUUUUUUAAUUAUUUAAUCAGAGUGAUAUCAAGAAAUGCCACAUUUCUUCAGCAUAUUGCCACAGGUAUUUUACAACUUCCUCCUCCAUUUCCAUGUUUUUAGUAAAUAAUUUAUUAUGUACUUUUCAAGGAAGAGGAAGUAACUGUCCUCACCAUCUGAUGACUAAACAGUCAGUAAGUUGGAGUGCUCUGAGACUUAAUAGAUGUUGCAAGAAGACCUCAAGGACAGCACAGCAUCAUCUUAGCGACUCCUGAGCUACCCCAAUGAGGUAGUAAACAGGUUCCCAUACAGCAACCAGUCAUAUCUGAAGAAACGACCAUGUCAAUUUGUAUCCAUCCCUUGUUCAAUACAGUGUUACCUCGGGUUAAGUACUUAAUUCGUUCCGGAGGUCCGUUCUUAACCUGAAACUGUUCUUAUACUGAAACACCACUUUAGCUAAUGGGGCCUCCCGCUGCUGCCGAAGCACGAUUUCUGUUCUCAUCCUGAAGCAAAGUUCUUAACCCGAGGUACUAUUUCUGGGUUAGCGGAGUCUGUAACCUGAAGCGUACAUAACCUGAAGUGUAUGUAACCUGAGGUACCACUGUAUUUCCUUUUUGCUCAUCGCUCAACAUUCAUUUCUGUUCUGUGGCUACCAUUUAUCGCAGUAUCAGUCAGAAAAGCUUGGGAUGAGUGAUGCAUGGGGUUAGCAGUCGCAUACCACAUUUCCAAGAUUGAACUUUGGCGGUAUGUAUGCAUCCCCUCCCCAAACCCUUUUUGUCUUAAUUUGUACUGUUGGAUUUGCAAACAUAUUACAAAUUCUGACCGGCAAUGUCCACCCAUCACCCAAGCCCUAAUUCUCCUUCAGUUUUGUUCACCAGUCCUGUCCCCCCUGCCUGACACCCUUAUUCCUUUGCUCAAUUGUACUCAUAGUUUCCACUGUCUACAUUGAUUCUGCAGUCGCAAACAAAACACCCUUGUACACUUCCAUCUUCUUGAGGGAUGGUGCUUUGUUUUUAAUUUCUGCAUACCUAGAAAGUCCCUCAUGUAUGCAGAAACCACCAUCUUAUUAUUGGGGCAGCUUCCAAACUUGGUAGGCUGGCACAGGAACACCCAAGUUUGGCGAUGCAGAAUCCAAAUGGCAGUUGUUCCGCUCGUUACGCAGAGAGGUUCAGCAAGUCAGCAUGCAGUGGGACAAUGCAAUGCACAAAAAUCCUCCACGCGUUCUUAACAUUUAGGCUUCAUCCUUUAUUAGGUAGUGAAUAAGAGACAUAAAAAUGAUUGUUUGUUGCUUACAGCUGAAGUCUACGAGAGACUCGUCUGUGUGAGUGAGAGAGAGAAAGAUAGGGACAGAGAGAAAGAGAAAUGUUUGCAUACAGCACUGUGAUGACAAGAGAAGCGGAGGACCGGGGUGGGGUGGGGGAGAGAGAUUUAAGCAACUUAAAAGAGCAUGGACCAGCUGAUGAAAAGAGUAGGAAUGACUCUUUUAUUUCUAGCAAAACUUUGAUUAUCUCUGCCAUUUGUACUGUGCCUCCAUACAUGCCACAGGCCAAAAUAUUAAAAGAACAAAUCUAUUCGUUUUGAUAAGAGCAGUAGCAUGACUUCAGUUUUGCAUAUUAUGCCAUAUGUGAAAAAUCCUUUCCAAGGCAGCUCUGCCUUUGGCACAUCCUCAGUACUCUAUGGCUAGGUUCUCAGUGGUUUCCUUCUGUGGCCACAAGCAAAGGCUCUAUGAGCCAAUUAAAAAAAAUCAAAAACCCAUAAAGCUUGGCUUGAAAAACCACUGCCAUGUGUGCACAUGCCGGAGUGCUGAGGAUAUUGUCCUUAUUGCAACUACAUUGUAAAAACAAAAAACAAAAAACCGAGACAUAUUGCUGGAGCACAUCUCACAGUUGUCGUGGAGAUGCCGUCAAAAACAGCUUCCAUAUAGAAGAUAAUCCCUGUACUGGCCACAGUACCUCCCACUUCCAUGUCCCCAGUGACUCAGAAUGCGGUAACUCUUAUCUGUCUGACAAGCACUUCUAAACAGAACAUCCAGGACAGAGGCGAUUUUCCCAUGGAAAGGCUAUUUUCAGUAGCAUCCCAAUAAUAGCUGUAAUAUGUUCAUGCUGUAAGGUGUGGGAGGGGGGGAGAGGAAUAUGUGGCCCUCCUUAAGUCAUUGGACUCCAGUUCUCAUCAGUCCCAGCCAGGGACGAUGGGAUUUGUAAGUCAGCAACUUAUGGAAAGAAACAGGCUGUUUUGGAAUCAGGGCCAGUUACUGGUCUAAUUAGUGUGGUCAGAACGGGUUACUUGUGCUCACUUUUAUGGGGCACUGGACCAAGCUUUCUAUCGUAGUAUUAUUUCCAAAAGUGUUAUGUUGCAAGAUCCCAAUGCUUUAGGAAUAAAUCUGUUCAUCAGCUUACAGGGAACUAAUGGUUAUUCAACAUCCUGAAGUACGGAUUUUGAAAUUCCUCAUAUUAAAGAUGCUGAGCGUUUCACUUAAUGAAAGUGCAUGAAGACCACUAAAUUCCUCGACUGACUUCCUAUAUCUGGUUAAAGAUUAAGACAGUCCAAAAACAAAACAAAAAACAAAAAAGGUGCUUUAUCUUCAAGGCACAAACAUUUGCAAGUAAAAUGGGUGAUUUUUUUCUAAAAUUGUUCAUAAAGAGCUAUCUUUGUAAAUUAACAUGUAAAAGAAAAAUGAAUCUCUUUGGAUUUUGGAGGCACAUAAUGGGCUGGAUCAAGUGCUCCAUGCCGUCAGAUCUAACUUCCUCCUGCAGCCCCCAUGCCCUUUGAACAUCUGCGGUGGGGGGCGGGGGCGGGGGCAGGGUUUCAUUGGCUUUAAUCCCCUUCUGCAAAUAGCAAGUACCUUUCUGAGAAUGGAAGAAGCUCUCCUCUUCACAAAAGGGCACCUUUGGACCCAACCCUUUAUUCUUGGAACAGCACAAACUUCCUCCUUCCUCCUUUUACUUUAUCAUAAUGCAUAUGUAAAGUGUGUGUGUGUGUGUGAUGGACGGACACGUAUACACACAUACACGCCUUAUAAGUGGACAGCUUUUUCUUUAAAAAAACAAACAAACCCACAAAAGUAAAUACAAAUGAAUAACUCUUGGUCAAUAUUCUCUAAGCAUAAAAAUCCUCAAGUGCUAAUAUUUAAAAAACAUGUGAAUGUUUUAGCAAAUCUAUGGCCAAUGUUUUGCAUCACUAGCAUUUUAUGAAUAGCCUUUAAUCUCCUGCUCCCCACUUAAUUCAAAAAAUAUGGUUUACUUUUUUUGUAGCUAAAAUCUACUUGCAGGCACUGCAGCUGCAAAUCAGUAUGGCUGAAUCUGACUGAGCAGAUCAUCUCAUAUUAUUUAUAAUAUCCUUUUCAGCUCUCUGUGGGGGAAAAAAUGUCAGCAGCAAAUAUCAGAGAUUCAAAACAUGUGCAUUCCUUUCC